AUUGAACGCUGGCGGCAUGCCUUACACAUGCAAGUCGAACGGUAACAGGUCUUCGGAUGCUGACGGGUGGCGAACGGGUGAGCAAUACAUCGGAACGUGCCUAGUAGUGGGGGAUAACUACUCGAAAGAGUGGCUAAUACCGCAUGAGAUCUACGGAUGAAAGCAGGGGAUCGCAAGACCUUGUGCUACUAGAGCGGCCGAUGGCAGAUUAGGUAGUUGGUGGGAUAAAAGCUUACCAAGCCGACGAUCUGUAGCUGGUCUGAGAGGACGAUAAGCCACACUGGGACUGAGACACGGCCCAGACUCCGACGGGAGGCGGCAGUGGGGAAUUUUGGACAAUGGGCGAAAGCCUGAUCCAGCAAUGCCGCGUGCAGGAUGAAGGCCUUCGGGUUGUAAACUGCUUUUGUACGGAACGAAAAGCCCCGGGUUAAUACCCUGGGGUCAUGACGGUACCGUAAGAAUAAGCACCGGCUAACUACGUGCCAGCCGCCGCCGUAA
This 498-nucleotide ribosomal RNA is filed under the name uncultured bacterium. Its description in RNAcentral is "partial 16S ribosomal RNA". It matches the Rfam family "Bacterial small subunit ribosomal RNA", at positions 30 to 523 of the family's 1533-position model. The record is from RNAcentral.